AUGGACCCCCCUCACCUCUCUCUCUCUCUCUCAAACCCUAAAACAAAUCAGUCAAGCUCUCAUUGCCGACUCGCAGACCCAUCGUCUGGGUGGCUGACACGUCAGUUCCCUGUUGCUACGGUGCUGCCAACCCGCCAUUCCAUUGCCCUGGAUUCGGUUGUGGCGUGGGCUGGGAACCGUAGAGUUUUGUCUGAUGUGUCGUCCGAGACGGAGGUUUGGUUGGCUGACGCCAGGUAUGAGCAGCUCCUGAGACUGUCUAAGUUACUUACCACUAUGAGCAGCCUGAUGGAUGGAUGGAUGGAUGAUGUAUGCAUGCUACUGUGUGAUGAAGAGAUGGAGUUCUUACCAGGGGCGAUGAUGAUGACUGUGGCUGAAACAAGCAUGUCUUGA
This 390-nucleotide ribosomal RNA is filed under the name Triticum aestivum (bread wheat). Its description in RNAcentral is "partial small subunit ribosomal RNA". The record is from RNAcentral. Lineage: Eukaryota; Viridiplantae; Streptophyta; Magnoliopsida; Poales; Poaceae.